UGCCAGCUGCUCUAAUUACUUGGGCCUCUUACAUGCACAACUUGCAUUGAGAGUUAAAUCACUGAUGCAGGGGAGGCCGCUUGCGGUUCAACUAGGAGACACCCACGGCGUGGUCGUCUACCACGCCACGGCGCUGGCUCCCGAGAAGCUGUGCGCCACGUUUGAGAAAUUCGGCAAGACGAGCGUGGUUCACGGCUUCGAGCUCACCGACGGCAACCACGCCACUGUCGUCUUCUUCUCGGAGCCAAUGAGCUGUGCGGUUUGCUACGUGUCUCUCUCGCGACUGGCACAAGAGCCUGAGAACGUUGGUAUUAUCGAUGUCGGAUGGAUCCACGAAAACGGCGUUGACGCUUUUGCGAAGCGGUCCUAUGUGAGACACAAGUACACCCCUGCUGUCUCCACCGUGGGCGCUGAAUCGGCCGCAUCCAACGGUUACUUGGUUGUGUAUUGGAAGGGCGUGGCGGAACCCGACCGGCGCGAGAUUUCUCAAAUGGCGCACUCGUCGGCCGUCGAGGUUUUUGAGGACAGCAAAGAGGGUGGCCGGUCGUUUCUGCGCUUUUGCUCCGAGGAUGCUGCUGACGCCUUCCACUCCGACGUGCUGUCGCGAUUCGCUGCGAUGAGGCGGUCUCUUUCGUAUGCCGACGCCACAGAUUUCUCACUUGCCAAGGGAGCUGCGUGAAAAACUUCAGCCACCAAGAGUACAUACACACAGGCAGCAAAAAAAAUGCUUCAUUGCAAGCCUUUCGGUUUGUCUGCAGUCUCUCUCUCCCUCAUGGCGAGUCGCGCACUUCCAUUGCGAUCGCAUACAUAUAGGGGAGGGCGUAGAGGCGCGGGAAAGGAGUAUGGGGGUGUGGCCGGUGAUAGCACUUUCCAAGCUUUGCAUACUUCUCCUGAAGAAACAGAGAUAAGCUAUGUGCGAAUGAGUCAGGCUGCACGGCGCUGUGCCACUCCCCAACUGCUCUAUGCUUCAGUCACUGCCUUGCUCACUCGCCUCGAUGGGCGUCUUCAUCGUAAUCUACUGUCUUCUCCCUCUCAAG
RNAcentral lists this unclassified non-coding RNA (1037 nucleotides) under Leishmania donovani. RNAcentral's name for it is "gene:LdHU3.33.2620(CDS-product:hypothetical_prote in_conserved)". Lineage: Eukaryota; Euglenozoa; Kinetoplastea; Trypanosomatida; Trypanosomatidae. The record is from RNAcentral.